This 501-nucleotide ribosomal RNA is filed under the name uncultured bacterium. Its description in RNAcentral is "partial 16S ribosomal RNA". It matches the Rfam family "Bacterial small subunit ribosomal RNA", at positions 30 to 523 of the family's 1533-position model. The record is from RNAcentral.
AUUGAACGCUGGCGGCAGGCUUAACACAUGCAAGUCGAGCGGAGAUGAGGUGCUUGCACCUUAUCUUAGCGGCGGACGGGUGAGUAAUGCUUAGGAAUCUGCCUAUUAGUGGGGGACAACAUUCCGAAAGGAAUGCUAAUACCGCAUACGUCCUACGGGAGAAAGCAGGGGAUCUUCGGACCUUGCGCUAAUAGAUGAGCCUAAGUCGGAUUAGCUAGUUGGUGGGGUAAAGGCCUACCAAGGCGACGAUCUGUAGCGGGUCUGAGAGGAUGAUCCGCCACACUGGGACUGAGACACGGCCCAGGAUCCUAAGGGAGGUAGCAGAGGGGAAUAUUGGACAGUGGGGGGAACCCUGAUCCAGCCAUGCCGCGUGUGUGAAGAAGGCCUUAUGGUUGUAAAGCACUUUAAGCGAGGAGGAGGCUACUGAGACUAAUACUCUUGGAUAGUGGACGUUACUCGCAGAAUAAGCACUGGCUAACUCUGUGCCAGCCGCCGCGGUAA